AGAGUUUGAUCCUGGCUCAGAAUGAACGCUGGCGGCGUGCCUAACACAUGCAAGUCGAGCGAGAAAGGCCUCGGGCUAAGUAAAGCGGCAGACGGGUGAGCAACGCGUGGGAAUCUGCCUUUUAGUGAAGGAUACCCUCGAGAAAUCGAGGCUAAUACUGCAUAAGUCUAGAAAUAGAGAAAGAUGGCUUUAUGCUGUCG
Molecule: ribosomal RNA, 200 nt
Filed under: uncultured bacterium
Lineage: Bacteria
Description: partial 16S ribosomal RNA
Rfam family: Bacterial small subunit ribosomal RNA
Source: RNAcentral